GGACGGAAGCCGUGGAAGCGGGAGGGGCCUUCGUGUGAAAAUCCCUUGUGGGGUUUGGUGUUUCACUUUUUAAAGGCAUACAACUCAGGAUUCAUAACUACAUAUAUACGGAUAGAAGUGCAUGAACAGAAAAUCUGCCCUUCUGGAAUACCAAAUGCAAAAUUAAAGUGACUACAAGCAGAAUUUGGAGAAAAAAAAUAAAAGAUGCAAUAUAGUUUUUAAAAUCAUUGUUAAAAUAUAAUGAGUCUGUACUUUGCUUAAACAAUAAAAAAGUCUUUGAUUUAUA
Molecule: long non-coding RNA, 286 nt
Filed under: Pan troglodytes (chimpanzee)
Lineage: Eukaryota; Metazoa; Chordata; Mammalia; Primates; Hominidae
Description: lincRNA
Source: RNAcentral